GUGAGGAAUAUUGGUCAAUGGGCGGGAGCCUGAAGCAGCCAAGUCGCGUGAAGGAAGAAGGAUCUAUGGUUCGUAAACUUCUUUUGCAGGGGAAUAAAGUGCAGGACGUGUCCUGUUUUGUAUGUACCCUGAGAAUAAGGAUCGGCUAACUCCGUGCCAGCAGCCGCGGUAAUACGGAGGAUCCGAGCGUUAUCCGGAUUUAUUGGGUUUAAAGGGUGCGUAGGUGGUUUGAUAAGUCAGCGGUGAAAGUUUGCAGCUUAACUGUAAAAAUGCCGUUGAAACUGUCGGACUUGAGUGUAAAUGAGGUAGGCGGAAUGCGUGGUGUAGCGGUGAAAUGCAUAGAUAUCACGCAGAACUCCGAUUGCGAAGGCAGCUUACUAAGCUACAACUGACACUGAAGCACGAAAGCGUGGGGAUCAAACAGGAUUAGAUACCCCAGUAGUCC
Molecule: ribosomal RNA, 445 nt
Filed under: uncultured bacterium
Lineage: Bacteria
Description: partial 16S ribosomal RNA
Rfam family: Bacterial small subunit ribosomal RNA
Source: RNAcentral